UUUGAUCCAUGACAGUGCAUAUUCCACCGGCUGCUGCGUUCCAUCUCAUCAAAUACGGUCGUCUGUUUCUUUGCCAGUCCUGAUGGAGGAAAGACAUCUCAUUAUUAAUUGAAUUAAGGGGAGUAUUUCUGGAGCAAGGUACAGCAGAGCCCAGUUACCACCAGCUUCGGUACACUCUGCACUCCAAAGUCAGGUGUGAUUACAGCGUUCAGCGUCGAGGAAAUGGAGGUUCAAGGAGAAACAAGAGGGGUUGUGGGCGUGUGAAGAUGGAAACGAGCGCUGGGUCAUUAGUCUUUGAUGUUUUUUUUUUUUUCCCCUCCUCUGAUGUGACCCGUGACUAAUUCUUCUCCACACUCUUUGCAUGAAUUGUGGGUGUGUGCAGCACUUUUAUUAUCUUUGAAUAUAUUAAUAAAUCUAUCUAUCUAUUGC
RNAcentral lists this long non-coding RNA (429 nucleotides) under Sparus aurata (gilthead seabream). Its description in RNAcentral is "lncRNA (ENSSAUG00010007734.1)". The record is from RNAcentral. Lineage: Eukaryota; Metazoa; Chordata; Actinopteri; Spariformes; Sparidae.